This 28-nucleotide non-coding RNA is filed under the name Cricetulus griseus (Chinese hamster). The record is from RNAcentral. Lineage: Eukaryota; Metazoa; Chordata; Mammalia; Rodentia; Cricetidae.
GGGGCUGGAGAGAUGGCUCAGAGAUUAA